RNAcentral lists this ribosomal RNA (436 nucleotides) under uncultured Saccharofermentans sp. RNAcentral's name for it is "bacterial SSU rRNA". It matches the Rfam family "Bacterial small subunit ribosomal RNA", at positions 341 to 792 of the family's 1533-position model. The record is from RNAcentral. Lineage: Bacteria; Bacillati; Bacillota; Clostridia; Eubacteriales; Oscillospiraceae.
ACGGAAGGCAGCAGUGGGGAAUAUUGGGCAAUGGGCGCCAGCCUGACCCAGCAACGCCGCGUGAAGGAUGAAGGUCUUCGGAUUGUAAACUUCUUUGAUCAGGGACGAAUAAAUGACGGUACCUGAAGAACAAGUCACGGCUAACUACGUGCCAGCAGCCGCGGUAAUACGUAGGUGACAAGCGUUAUCCGGAUUUACUGGGUGUAAAGGGCGUGUAGGCGGUUUGGCAAGUCAGAAGUGAAAUUCCCGGGCUUAACUUGGGCGCUGCUUCUGAAACUGCUUUACUUGAGUACUGGAGAGGAUAGUGGAAUUCCUAGUGUAGCGGUAAAAUGCGCAGAUAUUAGGAGGAACACCGGUGGCGAAGGCGGCUAUCUGGACAGUAACUGACGCUGAGGCGCGAAAGCACGGGGAGCAAACAGGAUUAGAUACCCUGGUA